CCCUUAGAUGUUCUGGGCCGCACGCGCGCUACACUGAUGCAUUCAACGAGCCUAUCCUUGACCGACAGGUCCGGGUAAUCUUUGAAUCUGCAUCGUGACGGGGAUUGAUUAUUGCAAUUAUUAAUCUUCAACGAGGAAUGCCUAGUAGGCGCAAGUCAUCAGCUUGCGUCGAUUACGUCCCUGCCCUUUGUACACACCGCCCGUCGCUCCUACCGAUUGGGUGUGCUGGUGAAAUGUUCGGAUCGGCCGUUUGUCGCGGUUUCCGCGUCAUGUGGCUGAGAAGUUCAUUAAACCCUCCCACCUAGAGGAAGGAGAAGUCGUAACA
RNAcentral lists this ribosomal RNA (325 nucleotides) under uncultured eukaryote. Its description in RNAcentral is "partial 18S ribosomal RNA". It matches the Rfam family "Eukaryotic small subunit ribosomal RNA", at positions 1470 to 1796 of the family's 1831-position model. The record is from RNAcentral.